GACGAACGCUGGCGGCGUGCUUAACACAUGCAAGUCGAACGGAAAGGCCCUGCAUUUUUGGGUUGCUCGAGUGGCGAACGGGUGAGUAACACGUGAGUAACCUGCCCUUGACUUUGGGAUAACUUCAGGAAACUGGGGCUAAUACCGGAUAGGAGCUCCUGCUGCAUGGUGGGGGUUGGAAAGUUUCGGCGGUUGGGGAUGGACUCGCGGCUUAUCAGCUUGUUGGUGGGGUAGUGGCUUACCAAGGCUUUGACGUGUAGACGGCCUGAGAGGGUGACCGGCCACAUUGGGACUGAGCUACGGCCCAGACUACUACGGGAGGCAGGAGUGGGGACUAUUGUACGAUGGGCGGAAGCCUGAUGCAGCAACGCCGCGUGCGGGAUGACGGCCUUCGGGUUGUAAACCGCUUUCGCCUGUGACGAAGCGUGAGUGACGGUAAUGGGUAAAGAAGCACCGGCUAACUACGUG
RNAcentral lists this ribosomal RNA (468 nucleotides) under uncultured bacterium. Its description in RNAcentral is "partial 16S ribosomal RNA". It matches the Rfam family "Bacterial small subunit ribosomal RNA", at positions 28 to 507 of the family's 1533-position model. The record is from RNAcentral.